RNAcentral lists this ribosomal RNA (482 nucleotides) under uncultured bacterium. Its description in RNAcentral is "partial 16S ribosomal RNA". It matches the Rfam family "Bacterial small subunit ribosomal RNA", at positions 28 to 523 of the family's 1533-position model. The record is from RNAcentral.
AGUGAACGUUGGCGGCGUGGAUUAGGCAUGCAAGUCGAGCGAGAGCCGUAGCAAUACGGGGACAGCGGCGAAAGGGACAGUAAUGUGUAGGUACCUACCCCGAGGUCUGGGAUAGCUGCGGGAAACUGCAGGUAAUACCGGACAAUGUCUUCGGACCAAAGGUGUGAUUCCACCUUGGGAGGGGCCUGCAUCCUAUUGGCUAGUUGGCGGGGUAAUGGCCCACCAAGGCAACGAUGGGUAGCGGGUGUGAGAGCACGACCCGCGUCAUUGGGACUGAGAUACUGCCCAGACACCUACGGGUGGCUGCAGUCGAGGAUCUUCGGCAAUAGGCGAAAGCCUGACCGAACGACGCCGCGUGCGGGAUGAAGGCCUUCGGGUUGUAAACCGCUGUCGUAGAGGAGGAAAUGCAGGGGGGUUCUCCCUUCUGUUUGUCCUAUUCUAGGAGGAAGGACGGGCUAAGUUCGUGCCAGCCGCCGCUGUAA